RNAcentral lists this ribosomal RNA (383 nucleotides) under uncultured bacterium. Its description in RNAcentral is "bacterial SSU rRNA". It matches the Rfam family "Bacterial small subunit ribosomal RNA", at positions 28 to 412 of the family's 1533-position model. The record is from RNAcentral.
GACGAACGCUGGCGGCGUGCUUAACACAUGCAAGUCGAGCGGUAAGGCCCUUUCGGGGGUACACGAGCGGCGAACGGGUGAGUAACACGUGGGUGACCUGCCCUCAGCUCUGGGAUAAGCCUGGGAAACCGGGUCUAAUACUGGAUAUGACUCCAUGACGCAUGUUGUGGGGUGGAAAGCCUUGUGCGGCUGAGGAUGGGCCCGCGGCCUAUCAGCUUGUUGGUGGGGUGANGGCCUACCAAGGCGACGACGGGUAGCCGGCCUGAGAGGGCGACCGGCCACACUGGGACUGAGACACGGCCCAGACUCCUACGGGAGGCAGCAGUGGGGAAUCUUGCGCAAUGGGCGAAAGCCUGACGCAGCGACGCCGCGUGAGGGAUGAC